This 440-nucleotide ribosomal RNA is filed under the name uncultured Wolinella sp. RNAcentral describes it as "bacterial SSU rRNA". It matches the Rfam family "Bacterial small subunit ribosomal RNA", at positions 338 to 795 of the family's 1533-position model. Lineage: Bacteria; Pseudomonadati; Campylobacterota; Epsilonproteobacteria; Campylobacterales; Helicobacteraceae. The record is from RNAcentral.
CCUACGGGUGGCUGCAGUAGGGAAUAUUGCUCAAUGGGGGAAACCCUGAAGCAGCAACGCCGCGUGGAGGAUGAAGGUCUUCGGAUUGUAAACUCCUUUUCUAAGAGAAGAUUAUGACGGUAUCUUAGGAAUAAGCACCGGCUAACUCCGUGCCAGCAGCCGCGGUAAUACGGAGGGUGCAAGCGUUACUCGGAAUCACUGGGCGUAAAGAGCACGUAGGCGGCCUUACAAGUCAGAUGUGAAAUCUAACGGCUUAACCGUUAAACUGCAUUUGAAACUGUAGGGCUAGAGUAUGGGAGAGGUAGGUGGAAUUCUCGGUGUAGGGGUAAAAUCCGUAGAGAUCGAGAGGAAUACUCAUUGCGAAGGCGACCUGCUGGAACAUUACUGACGCUCUGGUGCGAAAGCGUGGGGAGCAAACAGGAUUAGAUACCCCAGUAGUC